RNAcentral lists this ribosomal RNA (434 nucleotides) under uncultured archaeon. RNAcentral describes it as "bacterial SSU rRNA". It matches the Rfam family "Archaeal small subunit ribosomal RNA", at positions 281 to 715 of the family's 1478-position model. The record is from RNAcentral.
AGCAAGAGCCCGGAGAUGGAUUCUGAGACAUGAAUCCAGGCCCUACGGGGCGCAGCAGGCGCGAAAACUUUACAAUGCGGGAAACCGUGAUAAGGGGACACCGAGUGCCAGCGUCAUACGCUGGCUGUCCAGGUGUGUAAAAUACACCUGUUAGCAAGGGCCGGGCAAGACCGGUGCCAGCCGCCGCGGUAACACCGGCGGCCCGAGUGGUGAUCGUGAUUAUUGGGUCUAAAGGGUCCGUAGCCGGUUUGGUCAGUCCUCCGGGAAAUCUGACAGCUCAACUGUUAGGCUUUCGGGGGAUACUGCCAGACUUGGAACCGGGAGAGGUAAGAGGUACUACAGGGGUAGGAGUGAAAUCUUGUAAUCCCUGUGGGACCACCUGUGGCGAAGGCGUCUUACCAGAACGGGUUCGACGGUGAGGGACGAAAGCUGGG